AGCAGCCGCGGUAAUUCCAGCUCCAAUAGCGUAUAUUAAAGUUGUUGCAGUUAAAAAGCUCGUAGUUGAAUUUCGGGAUCAAUACGUCUGUCGUGCCUUUGGUACGUACGGGUGUAAUUGGUUUCUACCUUCUGAGGAUCCUUGAUGUCAUUAAUUUGGUGUCUUGGGGAAUCAGGACUGUUACCUUGAAAAAAUUAGAGUGUUUAAAGCAGGCAUACGCUUGAAUACAUUAGCAUGGAAUAAUGAAAUAGGACGUUCGAUUCUAUUUUGUUGGUUUCUAGGAUCGACGUAAUGAUUAAUAGGGAUAGUUGGGGGCAUUAGUAUUCAAUUGCCAGAGGUGAAAUUCUUGGAUUUAUUGAAGACUAACUACUGCGAAAGCAUUUGCCAAGGAUGUUUUCAUUAAUCAAGAACGAAAGUUAGGGGAUCGAAGACGAUCAGAUACCGUCGUAG
RNAcentral lists this ribosomal RNA (450 nucleotides) under uncultured Glomeromycotina. RNAcentral describes it as "SSU rRNA". It matches the Rfam family "Eukaryotic small subunit ribosomal RNA", at positions 569 to 1023 of the family's 1831-position model. Lineage: Eukaryota; Fungi; Glomeromycota. The record is from RNAcentral.